RNAcentral lists this ribosomal RNA (361 nucleotides) under uncultured bacterium. RNAcentral's name for it is "partial 16S ribosomal RNA". It matches the Rfam family "Bacterial small subunit ribosomal RNA", at positions 338 to 710 of the family's 1533-position model. The record is from RNAcentral.
CCUACGGGAGGCAGCAGUCGAGAAUCAUUCACAAUGGGGGAAACCCUGAUGGUGCGACGCCGCGUGGGGGAAUGAAGGUCUUCGGAUUGUAAACCCCUGUCAUGUGGGAGCAAAUUAAAAAGAUAGUACCACAAGAGGAAGAGACGGCUAACUCUGUGCCAGCAGCCGCGGUAAUACAGAGGUCUCAAGCGUUGUUCGGAAUCACUGGGCGUAAAGCGUGCGUAGGCUGUUUCGUAAGUCGUGUGUGAAAGGCGCGGGCUCAACCCGCGGACGGCACAUGAUACUGCGAGACUAGAGUAAUGGAGGGGGAAGCGGAAUUCGCGGUGUAGCAGUGAAAUGCGUAGAUAUCGAGAAGAACACU